ACCAUGACAACCAGCGAGCGGGCAGACGCCUCUCCUUCGCUAUGAGUGCCGGACUGCUGCAGCAAGAAAACCCCAUAAAACUCAGCACAGAUGGAGAAGAAGUUGAACGAACAGCCGAUGAAUCUAAGGAGGAGACACAGGACGACUUGGAGAUCAUCAACGACGCCAUCCAUAUGAACGGCGGCGACGAAGAUGAGGACGACGAAGAGGAAAUGACGGACCGAGAGCGGGGCGAGAAGAUCAUAGACAUUCUCAUUCCUCCAUGCGAG
This is a non-coding RNA of Penaeus vannamei (Pacific white shrimp), 269 nucleotides long. The record is from RefSeq and is a predicted model, not a curated record. Lineage: Eukaryota; Metazoa; Arthropoda; Malacostraca; Decapoda; Penaeidae.